RNAcentral lists this ribosomal RNA (583 nucleotides) under Candidatus Woesearchaeota archaeon. RNAcentral describes it as "bacterial SSU rRNA". It matches the Rfam family "Archaeal small subunit ribosomal RNA", at positions 1 to 497 of the family's 1478-position model. The record is from RNAcentral. Lineage: Archaea; Nanobdellati; Candidatus Woesearchaeota.
GUUCCUGUUUAUCCUGCAGGAGGUUGCUGCUAUCAGAAUCCCGCUUAGGCAUGCAAGUCUAGGGGCCUUCGGGUCACUGGCAAACUGCUCAGUAACACGUCGAUAAUCUGCCUUUGAGCCUGGAAUAACCUUGGGAAACUGAGGCUAAUACUGGAUAAGGAAAAACCACUGGAAUGUUUUUUUCCUCAAAGCUUCGGCACUCAAAGAUGAGUCGGCGGCCCAUCAGGUUGUUGGUGAGGUAACUCAGCGCAAAACAGAGUUUUGCUCAUUGCAAAGCUCACGCUUUACAAGCUCACCAAGCCUACGACGGGUAAGGGCCUUGAGAGAGGUAGCCCUGAGAGGGACACUUAGAUACUGGUCCCAGCCCUACGGGGUGCAGCAGCUAGGAAAACUUUACAAUGCACGAAAGUGUGAUAAGGGGAUUCUGAGUGCUCAAGCAUAGCUUGGGCUUUUGCCAAGAGUAAAUUACGAAAAUGGAACAUCUAAUAAUGUAACCAUUUCGGAUUACAAAUCUUGGCGAAUAAGCGGUGGGCAAGACUGGUGCCAGCCGCCGCGGUAACACCAGCGCCGCAAGUGGGAACCG